This 399-nucleotide ribosomal RNA is filed under the name uncultured bacterium. RNAcentral describes it as "bacterial SSU rRNA". It matches the Rfam family "Bacterial small subunit ribosomal RNA", at positions 356 to 772 of the family's 1533-position model. The record is from RNAcentral.
GGGGAAUAUUGGACAAUGGGGGCAACCCUGAUCCAGCCAUGCCGCGUGAGUGAUGAAGGCCUUCGGGUUGUAAAGCUCUUUUGGCGGGGACGAUGAUGACGGUACCCGCAGAAUAAGCCCCGGCUAACUUCGUGCCAGCAGCCGCGGUAAGACGAAGGGGGCUAGCGUUGUUCGGAAUUACUGGGCGUAAAGCGAGUGUAGGUGGUUGUCCAAGUUGGAUGUGAAAGCCUUGAGCUCAACUCAAGAAAUGCAUUCAGGACUGGAUGACUAGAGGACCGGAGAGGAUAGUGGAAUUCCCAGUGUAGUGGUGAAAUACGUAGAGAUUGGGAAGAACACCAGUGGCGAAGGCGGCUUCCUGGACCGACACUGACGCUGAGGCGCGAAAGCUAGGGGAGCAAA